CCUGCAGCUACCAUAGCACCUAAAGCUGCCGUCCCCCGCACCCCUCCCCCUCGUAGUCCAAACCCUUCUCCAGAAAGGCCCAGAUCCGCUCUGGCCGCAGCUAUUCUUGUGACAACCCUAACUGGACGGACCAUUGCCAUCCCUCAGCCACGUCAACGAUCUCUUUCUGAGAGUGAUGCCAGUUACUUGCAAGAUCAAGAAAAUUAUAUUGAGCCAUAUGCCACAGUCACUGAGCUGCGAAUGCGUCACAACUGGAAGAGCAAUGGU
Non-coding RNA from Podarcis muralis (Common wall lizard), 267 nucleotides. NCBI's taxonomy places the organism in Eukaryota, Metazoa, Chordata, Lepidosauria, Squamata, Lacertidae. The record is from RefSeq and is a predicted model, not a curated record.